RNAcentral lists this long non-coding RNA (524 nucleotides) under Trifolium pratense (red clover). RNAcentral's name for it is "long non-coding RNA (TPRA_LNC010863)". Lineage: Eukaryota; Viridiplantae; Streptophyta; Magnoliopsida; Fabales; Fabaceae. The record is from RNAcentral.
UAAUUAUUAAUGUUGUAAUAUUCAAAUCAUUCUAAUAACUCAGUUCACUAUAUAUUGACUAGAAAUAACAUAUAUGUUGUAUGCAGGUUCUUUAGGUGUGAUUUACAUUCAUUAGGUGUGGUAAAGUAUUUUUGGUUGGUUUGGUUUGAUGUUGGUGCUGCCAUCAAAUUUGCCUUUGUUAUUGCUCAGCUGGUCUAUGCAUAAAGUUUACAAAUUCUCUGCACAUCCUUAAACUAUCUCUAGUUUUGUGGUUCUACUACUAGGUGUAUGCAAUGUGCAAUAUUCAUUAAUUUAUAAUCAUUAUAUCUCAUCUUAGGUGUUGAAUUUGUGAUUAAGCUCUUCUAUUUGUGACUUCAAUUUCAUGUUUGUACUUUGGAUAUUGAUUUACUGGAAUGCACUUAUCAAUUAGACUCCAAUAUGUUAACCAUUUAAUUAAGUUCGUCUAUGUUUAAACACUAUUUUAAUUAAAAUUAUGUUUUCCUUAAUGAUUAUUGUUUUGAAUUUUAUAAAUUAUUAUUUUGAAG